RNAcentral lists this transfer RNA (424 nucleotides) under Phormidium sp. 7D6. RNAcentral describes it as "16S-23S ribosomal RNA intergenic spacer". The stretch from base 123 to 196 matches the Rfam family "tRNA". The record is from RNAcentral. Lineage: Bacteria; Bacillati; Cyanobacteriota; Cyanophyceae; Oscillatoriales; Oscillatoriaceae.
UAGGGAGACCUGUUUGACAAUCGGUAAUUAAGAUGAAAGUCUUAGUUGCGUUUGUCAAAGCAUCCCAAGGUCGUACGAGGCAGUACGUUUAAACUUUUAAACUAUUAACCGGUUCGGUGCAUGGGCUAUUAGCUCAGGUGGUUAGAGCGCACCCCUGAUAAGGGUGAGGUCCCUGGUUCGAGUCCAGGAUGGCCCAUCCUCUGCACUGUGAGUGAUAAGUAAUUAGGAACUCAACCCUCAGCACCUUAUUUUGGUAACAAUCAAAACUUGAUUGGUCUCAAAAGAGAAUGCUGGGCGUAAAGUCCAGUCAUGUACCUUGAAAACUGCAUAGCAAAAAGAAGAGAAACUUGAAGAAAUUUCUAGUAGCAAGUGCUUACUUAAGUUAAGGACAGCUAGAUAGAGAAACAAUCAAGAAUAUUAAAGU